RNAcentral lists this unclassified non-coding RNA (233 nucleotides) under plant metagenome. RNAcentral describes it as "partial contains small subunit ribosomal RNA, internal transcribed spacer 1, and 5.8S ribosomal RNA". The record is from RNAcentral.
UUUCCGUAGGCGAACCUGCGGAAGGAUCAUUAUUGGAUUUCGAAACUUCAGGCUGCUGCUGGCUCUCCUCGGAGGGCAUGUGCACGCUUGUUGUCCAUUAUUUCUCCCACUGUGCACAAAUUGUAGACCUUUCAGUAGGCCUAUGUUGUUUUUCACAAUCUCUGAAUGUAAUAGAAUGGUUUUGAAUCUUGGGAAAUACAAUACAACUUUCAGCAACGGAUCUCUUGGCUCUC